AACGCACCUUGCACCCUUUGGUAUUCCGAAGGGUACACCCGUUUGAGUGUCAUUGUAAUCUCACCUCGACCGCUUUAGUGUGGUCAGAAGUGGACUUGGGCCCUGUCGUGUCAUAACGACUGGCCUGAAAUGUGUGAGUGUACCCUGCCUCUGCAGCGUCUUCAGUGUGAUAAGCAUCUUCACUGGAAUCAAGCUCCUUCGGGACACGUGAGCAUGGUGGGCCCUAUGCUUCUAACCAUCUUCGGACACUUUGACAAUUUGACCUCAAAUCGGGUGGGACUACCCGCUGAACUUAA
This 296-nucleotide unclassified non-coding RNA is filed under the name uncultured fungus. RNAcentral describes it as "sequence contains ITS2". Lineage: Eukaryota; Fungi. The record is from RNAcentral.